Molecule: long non-coding RNA, 247 nt
Filed under: Lathyrus oleraceus (garden pea)
Lineage: Eukaryota; Viridiplantae; Streptophyta; Magnoliopsida; Fabales; Fabaceae
Description: Pisum sativum (pea) long non-coding RNA (PSAT_LNC005971)
Source: RNAcentral
AUUUUUCUAUUAUAUUUUAUUUAUUUAUUUAUAUAUUUAUUUAAUUAAUUAAUUAUUAUUUUUGUUUUUUUUUGUUUUUUCUUCGUUGUCGUUUUUUUUUUUGCAUAACACGUGGGCUUCGCCUAGCGAGCAUGACAGCUCAUGAACAAACCUUUGCUCCUUCAAGAUUAACGUUUUGACUGACGAAUAUACCCCUGUUGGAAGUAACUCAAGUCUUUCCCUUGUGUUGACUGAUCAUCUAUAUAGA